AUUGAACGCUGGCGGCAGGCCUAACACAUGCAAGUCGAACGGUAACAGGAAGCAGCUUGCUGCUUUGCUGACGAGUGGCGGACGGGUGAGUAAUGUCUGGGAAACUGCCUGAUGGAGGGGGAUAACUACUGGAAACGGUAGCUAAUACCGCAUAACGUCGCAAGACCAAAGAGGGGGACCUUCGGGCCUCUUGCCAUCGGAUGUGCCCAGAUGGGAUUAGCUAGUAGGUGGGGUAACGGCUCACCUAGGCGACGAUCCCUAGCUGGUCUGAGAGGAUGACCAGCCACACUGGAACUGAGACACGGUCCAGACUCCUACGGGAGGCAGCAGUGGGGAAUAUUGCACAAUGGGCGCAAGCCUGAUACAGCCAUGCCGCGUGUAUGAAGAAGGCCUUCGGGUUGUAAAGUACUUUCAGCGGGGAGGAAGGGAGUAAAGUUAAUACCUUUGCUCAUUGACGUUACCCGCAGAAGAAGCACCGGCUAACUCCGUG
This 490-nucleotide ribosomal RNA is filed under the name uncultured bacterium. Its description in RNAcentral is "partial 16S ribosomal RNA". It matches the Rfam family "Bacterial small subunit ribosomal RNA", at positions 30 to 507 of the family's 1533-position model. The record is from RNAcentral.